GUAAAUGACAAUGAAUUCAUACAUUUGAUAUUAUAAUGACAAUGUAUUAUAGUAUAUUGAAAUUAUGAAUUAUUUACGCGAAUUUCUUUUAUUAACAAUUUUUCCAGACAAUUCACGUCCUCAGUUACCACUGAUAGAUCCAGGACCAGUAGUCGAUAUCCUAAAAAACACCGCAAUCAAACUAAAAUGCUAUGGUGAAACGAAGACUUAUUGGCAGAUUCCGGAAAAUAUUAGAUUUAAAAACAAUCGUUGGCAUUAUCAUUUUUACUCGUAUUCUGAUAUCACUGGCAGCGAGAGUGGAGCCGUGAUU
RNAcentral lists this long non-coding RNA (310 nucleotides) under Androctonus crassicauda. Lineage: Eukaryota; Metazoa; Arthropoda; Arachnida; Scorpiones; Buthidae. The record is from RNAcentral.